Molecule: unclassified non-coding RNA, 274 nt
Filed under: Hevea brasiliensis (rubber tree)
Lineage: Eukaryota; Viridiplantae; Streptophyta; Magnoliopsida; Malpighiales; Euphorbiaceae
Source: RNAcentral
GUUAUAUUGGAUGCAGCUAACAGUGCCGGUUAUGUAGAACCUGAGAUUGUUGAAGCAGCAUUGAACGUGUUAGUUUGUCUUGUAUGUCCUCCACCUUCAAUCAGCAAUAAACCAUCUGUAUCUACACAAGCACAGCAAACCAAUGCUGUCCAAUCUGCAAACACUCCUGGUGUGGAGACCAGAGACCGGAAUGCAGACCGGAGUGAGACCAGAGACAGAAAUGCAGAGCGGAUUCUUCCAGAUCGAGCUGUUAAUAUCUCCAGUCAGAAUGAAA